Molecule: long non-coding RNA, 510 nt
Organism: Oncorhynchus tshawytscha (Chinook salmon)
Lineage: Eukaryota; Metazoa; Chordata; Actinopteri; Salmoniformes; Salmonidae
Source: Ensembl
UGUUUGUAGGACAGUAGUUCAGGUGGCUGUUUGUCUUUGUAGGACAGUAGUUCAGGUGGCUGUUUGUCUUUGUAGGACAGUAGAUGCUGUUUGUCUUUGUAGGACAGUAGUUCAGGUGGCUGUUUGUCUGUUUGUCUUGUAGGACAGUAGUUCAGGUGUUUGUCUUGGACAGUUUGUCUUUGUCUUUGUAGGACAGUAGUUCAGGUGGCUGUUUGUCUUUGUAGGACAGUAGUUCAGGUGGCUGUUUGUGUAGAUGCUGUUUGUCUUUGUAGGACAGUAGUUCAGGUGGCUGUUUGUCUUUGUAGGACAGUAGUUCAGGUGGCUGUUUGUGUAGAUGCUCUUUGUCUUUGUAGGACAGUAGUUCAGGUGGCUGUUUGUGUAGAUGCUGUUUGUCUUUGUAGGACAGUAGUUCAGGUGGCUGCCCUUGCACUUAGUCUGCCUCCUGCCCCCCCAUCGUCAUGGUUACACCUUCCUGAAAACAAUGACUCCAUACUUUGCUGAAACCUGUUC